Molecule: ribosomal RNA, 253 nt
Filed under: uncultured bacterium
Lineage: Bacteria
Description: partial 16S ribosomal RNA
Rfam family: Bacterial small subunit ribosomal RNA
Source: RNAcentral
UACGUAGGGGGCAAGCGUUGUCCGGAAUUAUUGGGCGUAAAGCGCGCGCAGGCGGUCUUUUAAGUCUGAUGUGAAAGCCCACGGCUCAACCGUGGAGGGUCAUUGGAAACUGGGAGACUUGAGUGUAGGAGAGGAAAGUGGAAUUCCACGUGUAGCGGUGAAAUGCGUAGAGAUGUGGAGGAACACCAGUGGCGAAGGCGACUUUCUGGCCUAUAACUGACGCUGAGGCGCGAAAGCGUGGGGAGCAAACAGG